AUUGAACGCUGGCGGCAGGCCUAACACAUGCAAGUCGAAUGGUAACAGGAAACAGCUUGCUGUUUCGCUGACGAGUGGCGGACGGGUGAGUAAUGUCUGGGAAACUGCCUGAUGGAGGGGGAUAACUACUGGAAACGGUAGCUAAUACCGCAUAACGUCGCAAGACCAAAGAGGGGGACCUUCGGGCCUCUUGCCAUCAGAUGUGCCCAGAUGGGAUUAGCUAGUAGGUGGGGUAACGGCUCACCUAGGCGACGAUCCCUAGCUGGUCUGAGAGGAUGACCAGCCACACUGGAACGGAGCACCGGUCCAGACCCCAACGGGGGGCGGAAGGGGGGAAUAUUGCACAAGGGGCGCAGGCUGGAUGCAGCCAUCCCGGGUGUGGGAGGAGGGCUUUGGGUUUGUAAAGUACUUUGGGGGGGGGGGAAGGGAGAAAAGUUAAUCCCUUGGCUCUUGGAGUUUCCCCGAAGAAGAAGCCCCGGCAAACCCCGUG
Molecule: ribosomal RNA, 490 nt
Filed under: uncultured bacterium
Lineage: Bacteria
Description: partial 16S ribosomal RNA
Rfam family: Bacterial small subunit ribosomal RNA
Source: RNAcentral